UACGGAGGGUGCAAGCGUUGUCCGGAUUUAUUGGGUUUAAAGGGUGCGUAGGCGGCCACGUAAGUCUGGGGUGAAAGCCCGUUGCUCAACAACGGAACUGCCCUGGAAACUGCGCGGCUUGAGUACAGACGAGGUUGGCGGAAUGGAUGCUGUAGCGGUGAAAUGCAUAGAUAGCAUCCAGAACCCCGAUUGCGAAGGCAGCUGACUAGGCUGUAACUGACGCUGAGGCACGAAAGCGUGGGGAGCAAACAGG
Molecule: ribosomal RNA, 253 nt
Filed under: uncultured bacterium
Lineage: Bacteria
Description: partial 16S ribosomal RNA
Rfam family: Bacterial small subunit ribosomal RNA
Source: RNAcentral